Molecule: ribosomal RNA, 478 nt
Filed under: uncultured bacterium
Lineage: Bacteria
Description: partial 16S ribosomal RNA
Rfam family: Bacterial small subunit ribosomal RNA
Source: RNAcentral
GACGAACGCUGGCGGCGUGCUUAACACAUGCAAGUCGAACGGUAAGGCCCUUCGGGGUACACGAGUGGCGAACGGGUGAGUAACACGUUGGUGACCUGCCCUGCACUUCGGGAUAAGCCUGGGAAACUGGGUCUAAUACCGGAUAGGACCACUGCCUGCAUGGGUGGUGGGGGAAAGCUUUUGCGGUGUGGGAUGGGCCCGCGGCCUAUCAGCUUGUUGGUGGGGUGAUGGCCUACCAAGGCGACGACGGGUAGCCGGCCUGAGAGGGUGGCCGGCCACACUGGGACUGAGAUACGGCCCAGACUCCUACGGGAGGCAGCAGUGGGGAAUAUUGCACAAUGGGCGCAAGCCUGACGCAGCGACGCCGCGUGAGGGAUGACGGCCUUCGGGUUGUAAACCUCUUUCAGCACCGACGAAGCGCAAGUGACGGUAGGUGCAGAAGAAGGACCGGCCAACUACGUGCCAGCCGCCGCAGUAA